UACGGGGGGAGCAAGCGUUGUUCGGAUUUACUGGGCGUAAAGGGCGCGGUAGGCGGUCGUGACAAGUCACUUGUGAAAUCUCCGGGCUUAACUCGGAACGGUCAAGUGAUACUGUCGGACUAGAGUACAGAAGGGGCAACUGGAAUUCUCGGUGUAGCGGUGAAAUGCGUAGAUAUCGAGAGGAACACCUGCGGCGAAGGCGGGUUGCUGGGCUGAUACUGACGCUGAGGCGCGAAAGCCAGGGGAGCGAACGGG
RNAcentral lists this ribosomal RNA (255 nucleotides) under uncultured bacterium. RNAcentral's name for it is "partial 16S ribosomal RNA". It matches the Rfam family "Bacterial small subunit ribosomal RNA", at positions 524 to 776 of the family's 1533-position model. The record is from RNAcentral.